RNAcentral lists this transfer RNA (66 nucleotides) under Lyperosomum longicauda. RNAcentral's name for it is "tRNA-Ala". The record is from RNAcentral. Lineage: Eukaryota; Metazoa; Platyhelminthes; Trematoda; Plagiorchiida; Dicrocoeliidae.
GACAACAUAGUUUAAGAUUAGAUGACUGCUUUGCGUGCUGUUGGUGAAUAUACUAUUCUGUUGUUG